CAAGUAGGCGGAAUGGUAAGUCAGAUGUUAAAGGCACCGGCUCAACCGGUGUACGGCACUUGAUACUGUUAUUCUAGAGUAAGGUGGGGGAAGAUGGAAUUCCUGGUGUAGCGGUGGAAUGCGCAGAUAUCAGGAAGAACACCAGAGGCGAAGGCGAUCUUCUAUACCAUUACUGACGCUAAAUUGCGAAGGUGUGGGUAUCAAACA
RNAcentral lists this ribosomal RNA (207 nucleotides) under uncultured bacterium. RNAcentral describes it as "partial 16S ribosomal RNA". It matches the Rfam family "Bacterial small subunit ribosomal RNA", at positions 568 to 774 of the family's 1533-position model. The record is from RNAcentral.